GAUCAUGGCUCAGAUUGAACGCUGGCGGCAUGCUUUACACAUGCAAGUCGAACGGCAGCACAGGGAGCUUGCUCCCGGGGUGGCGAGUGGCGCACGGGUGAGUAAUACAUCGGAACGUGUCCUGUUGGUGGGGGAUAACUGCUCGAAAGGGUGGCUAAUACCGCAUGAGACCUGAGGGUGAAAGCGGGGGAUCGCAAGACCUCGCGCAAUUGGAGCGGCCGAUGCCCGA
This 229-nucleotide ribosomal RNA is filed under the name uncultured bacterium. RNAcentral's name for it is "partial 16S ribosomal RNA". It matches the Rfam family "Bacterial small subunit ribosomal RNA", at positions 15 to 240 of the family's 1533-position model. The record is from RNAcentral.